RNAcentral lists this small nuclear RNA (19 nucleotides) under Arabidopsis thaliana (thale cress). RNAcentral's name for it is "snRNA_17595". Lineage: Eukaryota; Viridiplantae; Streptophyta; Magnoliopsida; Brassicales; Brassicaceae. The record is from RNAcentral.
CCGGUGCGCCCCCGGCGGC